GAGGUCGACAGUCCUGGUGAUAAUUGCUUCUAUAGAAAGUUAGCACAUGGCAGUGUCAAUCUCUUGCUUUUCUUCUGAGUAGUAUUUUAUUUAGUUGUAAUUCAAUCAAUAAUUUGCUUCUUGAAAUUAAGUAAUGAAUUUCUUGUUUUACUUUAUAAAUUUCAGAUCCUGCCUUUACCUGCUCCCUCCUAUACUGAUGUGGUGUAUGUGGUACUGCUGAGCUUGUAUGUGAUCUGAACCAUUGUAAAGGUUGCAGUUCAAGGGCCUGAGGUGGAAGCAGAAUUUGUGAGGAUUACUACUGCUCCACUUGUUCCAAGGCUUUUUGCACAACUUGA
Long non-coding RNA from Oreochromis niloticus (Nile tilapia), 335 nucleotides. RefSeq lists it as uncharacterized. The transcript has 3 exons. The record is from RefSeq and is a predicted model, not a curated record. Lineage: Eukaryota; Metazoa; Chordata; Actinopteri; Cichliformes; Cichlidae.